Molecule: ribosomal RNA, 531 nt
Filed under: uncultured bacterium
Lineage: Bacteria
Description: bacterial SSU rRNA
Rfam family: Bacterial small subunit ribosomal RNA
Source: RNAcentral
AAUAGAUACCCUCGGGUAGUCCACGCCGUAAACGAUGAGUGCUAAGUGUUAGGAGGGUUUCCGCCCUUUAGUGCUGCAGCUAACGCAUUAAGCACUCCGCCUGGGGAGUACGGUCGCAAGACUGAAACUCAAAGGAAUUGACGGGGGCCCGCACAAGCGGUGGAGCAUGUGGUUUAAUUCGAAGCAACGCGAAGAACCUUACCAGGUCUUGACAUCCUCUGACAACUCUAGAGAUAGAGCGUUCCCCUUCGGGGGACAGAGUGACAGGUGGUGCAUGGUUGUCGUCAGCUCGUGUCGUGAGAUGUUGGGUUAAGUCCCGCAACGAGCGCAACCCUUGAUCUUAGUUGCCAGCAUUCAGUUGGGGCACUCUAAGGUGACUGCCGGUGACAAACCGGAGGAAGGUGGGGAUGACGUCAAAUCAUCAUGCCCCUUAUGACCUGGGCUACACACGUGCUACAAUGGAUGGUACAAAGGGCUGCAAGACCGCGAGGUCAAGCCAAUCCCAAUAAAACCAUUCUCAGUUCGGAUUGU